GUGCCAGCCGCCGCGGUAAGACAGAGGGUGCAAACGUUGUUCGGAAUUACUGGGCGUAAAGCGUGUGUAGGCGGUCUGACAAGUCGGACGUGAAAGCCCCGGGCUCAACUCGGGAAGUGCGCUCGAUACUGUCAGACUUGAGUGUCGGAGAGGUUGGUAGAAUUCUCGGUGUAGAGGUGAAAUUCGUAGAUAUCGAGAGGAAUACCGGCGGCGAAGGCGGCCAACUGGACGAACACUGACGCUGAGACACGAAAGCGUGGGGAGCAAACAGGAUUAGAUACCCUGGUAGUCC
This 292-nucleotide ribosomal RNA is filed under the name uncultured bacterium. Its description in RNAcentral is "partial 16S ribosomal RNA". It matches the Rfam family "Bacterial small subunit ribosomal RNA", at positions 505 to 796 of the family's 1533-position model. The record is from RNAcentral.